UACGUAGGUGGCAAGCGUUGUCCGGAUUUACUGGGCGUAAAGCGCGCGUAGGCGGCUCGGAAAGUCGGUCGUGAAAUGCCGGGGCUCAACCCCGGGACUGCGUCCUAUACUUCCGAGCUGGAGGCAGGUAGGGGAGAUCGGAAUUCCUGGUGUAGCGGUGAAAUGCGCAGAUAUCAGGAGGAACACCGGUGGCGAAGGCGGAUCUCUGGGCCUUGCCUGACGCUGAGGCGCGAAAGCUAGGGGAGCGAACAGG
Molecule: ribosomal RNA, 253 nt
Filed under: uncultured bacterium
Lineage: Bacteria
Description: partial 16S ribosomal RNA
Rfam family: Bacterial small subunit ribosomal RNA
Source: RNAcentral